AGUCAGACUGCGGGAGCUAAGUUCCGUGGUCAAAAGGGAAAGAGCCCAGAUCGUCAAUUAAGGUCCCAAAGAUAUAGUUAAGUGGAAAACGAUGUGAUUUUGCGUAAACAACCAGGAUGUUGGCUUAGAAGCAGCCAUACAUUUAAAGAGUGCGUAAUAGCUCACUGGUCGAGUGAAGUUGCGCGGAAAAUUACCGGGGCUAAACUAUACACCGAAAUUGCGGAUUCAUGAGUAAUCAUGAGUGGUAGAGGAGCAUUCUAUAGUAGGACGAAGCAUGAUCGAAAGGACAUGUGGACGAGAUAGAAGAGAGAAUGCCGGAAUAAGUAGCGAGAGCAAAGUGAGAAUCUUUGCCGUCGAAAGUCUAAGGUUUCCUAGGGAAGGUUCGUCCGCCUAGGGUAAGUCGGGACCUAAGGUGAGGCCGAAAGGCGUAGCCGAUGGAUAGCAGGUUGAAAUUCCUGCACUACAGGUAUACUUAAAAAGCGUAAGGGACGCAGGAGAGGAAGAUAAGCGAGGAAGAGGAAAAACUCGUAUCGAAAGAUAUAGUGAAAUUUAAAGUAACGAAUUAUCAAGAAUCACACUGACAAGAAAAGCUUACGAGUCUUGUAUAUCAGUACCCGUACCGCAAACCGACACAGGUAGAUGAGGAGAGGAUCCUAAGACGAGCGGGAGAAGCAUUGUUAAGGAACUCGGCAAAUUGACCCCGUAACUUCGGGAGAAGGGGUGCCUAUGUAAAAGUAGGCCGCAGAGAAGAGGCCCAAGCAACUGUUUAACAAAAACACAGGUUUCUGCUAAAUCGAAAGAUGAAGUAUAGGAGCUGACGCCUGCCCAGUGCUGGAAGGUCAAGGGGAAAGGUUAUCCUUCGGGAGAAGCUUUGAACCAAAGCCCCAGUGAACGGCGGCCGUAACUAUAACGGUCCUAAGGUAGCGAAAUUCCUUGUCAGGUAAGUUCUGACCCGCACGAAAGGCGUAAUGAUUUGGGCGCUGUCUCAACAAUGUACCCGGCGAAAUUGUAGUACUAGUGAAGAUGCUAGUUACCUGCGACAAGACAGAAAGACCCCAUGGAGCUUUACUGCAGCUUGAUACUGGGUUUCGGUAAUUUAUGUACAGGAUAGGUGGGAGACUAUGAAAGUUAGGCGUCAGCUUAACUGGAGUCACUGUUGGGAUACCACCCUUAAGUUACUGAAAUUCUAACCAUGAAUCAUAAACUGGUUCGGGGACAAUGUCAGGCGGGCAGUUUGACUGGGGCGGUCGCCUCCUAAAGAGUAACGGAGGCGCCCAAAGGUUUCCUCAGCGCGGACAGAAAUCGCGCGAAAGAGUGUAAAGGCAGAAGGAAGCUUAACUGAAAGACAGACAUGUCGACCAGAUACGAAAGUAGGGCUUAGUGAUCCGGCGGUAGUGAAUGGAAAUGCCGUCGCUCAACGGACAAAAGUUACCCUGGGGAUAACAGGCUUAUCUCUCCCAAGAGUUCACAUCGACGGGGAGGUUUGGCACCUCGAUGUCGGCUCAUCGCAUCCUGGAGCGGAAGUACGUUCCAAGGGUUGGGCUGUUCGCCCAUUAAAGCGGUACGCGAGCUGGGUUCAGAACGUCGUGAGACAGUUCGGUCCUUAUCUGUCGCAGGCGUAGGAUAUUUGAAAGGAGCUGUCCUUAGUACGAGAGGACCAGGAUGGACAUACCGAUGGUGUAUCAGUUGUCACACCAGUGGCACGGCUGAGUAGCUAAGUAUGGACGGGAUAAACGCUGAAAGCAUCUAAGUGUGAAGCCCACCUUAAGAUAAGAUAUCCCAUACUGUAAAGUAGU
This 1796-nucleotide ribosomal RNA is filed under the name metagenomes. Its description in RNAcentral is "bacterial LSU rRNA". It matches the Rfam family "Bacterial large subunit ribosomal RNA", at positions 982 to 2829 of the family's 2925-position model. The record is from RNAcentral.